RNAcentral lists this ribosomal RNA (463 nucleotides) under uncultured bacterium. RNAcentral's name for it is "bacterial SSU rRNA". It matches the Rfam family "Bacterial small subunit ribosomal RNA", at positions 8 to 467 of the family's 1533-position model. The record is from RNAcentral.
AGAGUUUGAUCCUGGCUCAGAUUGAACGCUGGCGGCAGGCCUAACACAUGCAAGUCGAGCGGUAGAGAGAAGCUUGCUUCUCUUGAGAGCGGCGGACGGGCGAGUAAUGCCUAGGAAUCUGCCUGGUAGUGGGGGAUAACGUUCGGAAACGGACGCUAAUACCGCAUACGUCCUACGGGAGAAAGCAGGGGACCUUCGGGCCUUGCGCUAUCAGAUGAGCCUAGGUCGGAUUAGCUAGUUGGUGAGGUAAUGGCUCACCAAGGCGACGAUCCGUAACUGGUCUGAGAGGAUGAUCAGUCACACUGGAACUGAGACACGGUCCAGACUCCUACGGGAGGCAGCAGCGGGGAAUAUUGGACAAUGGGCGAAAGCCUGAUCCAGCCAUGCCGCGUGUGUGAAGAAGGUCUUCGGAUUGUAAAGCACUUUAAGUUGGGAGGAAGGGUUGUAGAUUAAUACUCUGCAA